AUUCUUUUGCUCCGCUCCGUCCUGCCUGCUUCGGAGCUCUGCCUUCCAGCCGGGCUCGGCUGUGCUUUGUCCGGAGAUGGCGAGCGAAGGGAAGCCCCGGCCAGGCCAGGCCUGGCGGCUCCCGCUGGAGAUUGGGCGCGCUCCGUUCCCGGCGCCGCGGCAGCAGCUUUGCAACUCGCAACCUGGCUAAUUUCCUGCGUCCUCUGGCACCAGGAAAGAGGACAAUUCUUCUCUCGGGCUGCCCAAGCGACAGCUGUCAGAGGGGCAGGAGCUUCUGGGAGCCACCGUCUGAAGGUGAGACAUGUGGGGAGGAGAUAGGAGCAAAGGUGGUGAGGCGACAGCCGGCGGCGGUAGCGGUGGGAGAGGGCACCCAGGGAGGCUUUAAGAGGGGCAUACUCCCCCUUACCCAUACUCACCCAUUCACACUUGCCCCCAUCACACACUACAGCCCACACACGUCACACACACAGGCACACACGCGCGCACGCACACACACACACACACCACUCCCUUUCUCUCCCCUCCCUGGCUCGCCUUGGCAGUAAGUGCCCGCCUUCCUUCGGCCCUCCGUGGCACAGCGCCAAGGCACAGGGCAGCAUCCCUUGGGUCGUCUCUCUCCCCUUCCCUAGCGACCCCGUGAAGCCCAAAAGGAAGUGGCCCGGCACACUGUGUUCCCCGCCAGCCCUUUGGGUUUGGAUUUUUGUGUUUUCAUUCAUGGCCCUAUUUGGUUUUGUUGGAUUCCCCAACAAGAGGAGACCAUCCUUGACCUGGGAAGGUGGGAAGAGACAACAUAGGCGGCCCGGAAGGCAAAAGGGCCCGGACGGCCUACACGCGCUACCAGACCCUGGAGCUGGAGAAGGAGUUCCACUUCAACCGUUACCUGACCCGCAGAAGGAGGAUUGAAAUAGCACAUGCUCUUUGCCUCUCCGAGAGACAAAUUAAAAUCUGGUUCCAAAACCGGAGAAUGAAGUGGAAAAAAGAUAAUAAGCUGAAAAGCAUGAGCAUGGCCGCGGCAGGAGGGGCCUUCCGUCCCUGAGUAUCUGAGCGUUUAAAGUACUGAGCAGUAUUAGCGGAUCCCGCGUAGUGUCAGUACUAAGGUGACUUUCUGAAACUCCCUUGUGUUCCUUCUGUGAAGAAGCCCUGUUCUCGUUGCCCUAAUUCAUCUUUUAAUCAUGAGCCUGUUUAUUGCCAUUAUAGCGCCUGUAUAAGUAGAUCUGCUUUCUGUUCAUCUCUUUGUCCUGAAUGGCUUUGUCUUGAAAAAAAAUAGAUGUUUUAACUUAUUUAUAUGAAGCAAGCUGUGUUACUUGAAGUAACUAUAACAAAAAAAGAAAAGAGAAAAAAAAACACACAAAAAGUCCCCCUUCAAUCUCGUUUAGUGCCAAUGUUGUGUGUUGCACUCAAGUUGUUUAACUGUGCAUGUGCGUGGAAGUGUUCCUGUCUCAAUAGCUCCAAGCUGUUAAAGAUAUUUUUAUUCAAACUACCUAUAUUCCUUGUGUAAUUAAUGCUGUUGUAGAGGUGACUUGAUGAGACACAACUUGUUCGACGUGUAGUGACUAGUGACUCUGUGAUGAAAACUGUGACUCCAAGCGGUGUGUCCCUGCGUGCCUUUAUAGGACCCUUUGCACGAACUCUGGAAGUGGCUCUUAUAAGCGCAGCUUCAGUGAUGUAUGUUUUUGUGAACAAAGUUACAAAUAUUGUCCAAGUCUGGCUGUUUUAAGCAAACUGUGAUCAGCUUUUUUUUUUUUUUUUUUUUUUUUGUAUUUGUUUUUAAGGAAAAAAUACUGACUGGAACAAAAAAUAAACUUUCUAUUGUAAGUUCUCUUGGUCUGGUUUGUGCCAAAUAGUGAGCGGCUCUGUCUGCUUUUCUGUCUGUCUGUGCAGUCUUGGAAGCUGUUGGGUCUGAGGCUACCUGAGCAGAUGACCUGUGCAGGGAGACCUCAUACCAACACUGUCCCAUCGCUUCCCUACCUCUGACCCAUUGCAAAGUUCAGGGCAGAAGGUGGAAAAAGCUGUAGGCUGUUCCAAAGCCCCAGAACACCC
RNAcentral lists this long non-coding RNA (2040 nucleotides) under Homo sapiens (human). RNAcentral describes it as "HSALNT0339914". Lineage: Eukaryota; Metazoa; Chordata; Mammalia; Primates; Hominidae. The record is from RNAcentral.